ACCGGCGAUGUCCGAAUGGGGAAACCCAGUGUGAUUCGUCACACUAUCAUUAACUGAAUCCAUAGGUUAAUGAGGCGAACCGGGGGAACUGAAACAUCUAAGUACCCCGAGGAAAAGAAAUCAACCGAGAUUCCCCCAGUAGCGGCGAGCGAACGGGGAGGAGCCCAGAGCCUGAAUCAGCAUAUGUGUUAGUGGAAGCGUCUGGAAAGGCGCGCGAUACAGGGUGACAGCCCCGUACACAAAAGCGCAUGUGCUGUGAGCUCGAUGAGUAGGGCGGGACACGUGGUAUCCUGUCUGAAUAUGGGGGGACCAUCCUCCAAGGCUAAAUACUCCUGACUGACCGAUAGUGAACCAGUACCGUGAGGGAAAGGCGAAAAGAACCCCGGCGAGGGGAGUGAAACAGAACCUGAAACCGUGUACGUACAAGCAGUGGGAGCACAGGUUUACCUGUGUGACUGCGUACCUUUUGUAUAAUGGGUCAGCGACUUAUAUUCUGUAGCAAGGUUAACCGAAUAGGGGAGCCGGAGGGAAACCGAGUCUUAAU
Molecule: ribosomal RNA, 544 nt
Filed under: Salmonella enterica subsp. arizonae
Lineage: Bacteria; Pseudomonadati; Pseudomonadota; Gammaproteobacteria; Enterobacterales; Enterobacteriaceae
Description: partial 23S ribosomal RNA
Rfam family: Bacterial large subunit ribosomal RNA
Source: RNAcentral